CUCAAAUUUUGGGGAUUCGAAGAGGAUCUGAGUUCCUUUUUUCCUCCUUCGCACAGUGGAAUGACGUCCAGCCUGUCAACGCAUCGAUCGUCAUCGAAGGGCUCUGCUUUGACUUCUUCUCGGCUUUUCCUGUGACUCUCUUCCACUUUGCGGUCUUCUCUCCUCUCCUAUCAUCUCUCACUCUUCCUCUGACUCUCCUUCUCUACUGAAAAAGCCCUAAUGUUUCGUCUUCCCCUCUUCUAUUUCUUCGUGUAAUUACCACGUCAACUCAAAUUUUGGCAGUAUUUAUCCCUAAAUCUCCUGGGAGAUUGUGAUUUUAUCCUUAAAACUGCUGCGAAUUUUUGUGUUUCCAUCAGUUCCGACGACAGUUGCCUUGAGGUUGGUCCCAAACGGUUUCUCAUCAACUCAUCUACCGAAUCCACAGAACCAACUGCAGCUUCAUUGACCGAAUGAGCUGGUGCCUAUACAGCCUGCUUGGAAUUUUUCUUUAUGGAUCUGAAUUUCAAUGUAUACAGAAGGAACAACCCUUAGGAACUCAUUCCAAAGCCUCCCCAGAAGAGGAAGUGGAGGGAUUCAUUGCAUUUUUUCAGAUAAAGUUCUCACUUUUUUCCUCAACAAAACAGCUAAGAUUCCAAAUUUAUUCAACAAUUUACUAAUUUUAUGUGUUUUUUUAUAUAGGCUUAUUUUCUUAUAACAUUGGACCCAACUAGCAUAUAUAUUCACUUCGUGGAUUGUUGUCCGCAAGAGAAACUUACAGAUUACUUCAUUUCAUUGGGUAUUUAAUUUUACCUUCAUCCUUGCAAUUUGUAUUAUUUAGUGAAAUGACACAGGCUUUCAUUUUAUGCAGAAACCUUCGCUCUAACCUGGAAAUUUUCUAUACGGCCGACUAAUCAAUGCCGACAGGUAUUUGACUGUUGCGUAUCUAAAUUUUCCACUCCAAUGAUUAAAAUGAAGCUUUUGUAAAUUGGGAAGAAGCUAUAUAUUGUUUCGAUCAAAUAAAACUAUUCCUUCCUAGCCAUAUUGUUUUUGUGGCAUAAAACUACUCCCACACGAUCAAAGUAUAUAGUAGAUACAUAGGUAAAAGAUACCUUGGAAAUAAAGUAUUGUACAUAAUAUUAAUAAUUAAUUAAUUAAUUAAUUGAUAAAGUUGGUGAUGGUGUUUUAAGGCUAUGCAAACUAAAUUUGUUGUGGGUAGACUCGAGUUUGGGUAACAACCACAAAUUUUUAUUUACUUUUCAAGUUUUGCUCAUUGCAGCUUCAAGUUUUAGGUAUUUUAAGAAUGACCUUUCCUGCUUUUUUACGAUUUUGUAUCAUGUGGUAUGAAUUAAUGCUCUCUUUUGUGUUCCAAAUGAUUUUACAUUGCUUGGUAAAAGGAAUUGUUAAACAAUGUGGUCAAGUUUUUCAGAUUGUUUUCAGAUUGUAAAAUUCAAUCAUACUUUUUUUUAAAGUGAUGUGUUUUAGAUACUGUGCUCUUCAACUAAGCUGUUGCAAAACUGUUGUAUAAAACUUUUAGCUGUUGAAAGUGUUUUAUCCAUCCUAACAAUUAGUCUACUAACUUAUGCCUAAUUUGUUAAUCCCUUACCAAAAUAAACAAAUCAUUUUAGUUAAUAUUUUUUCAUAAAAAUAGCCCAACGUUUCAUAAUCUUUCUUUUCGCUUGCAAUGUGGAAAGGUUGUUCAUUAUCUCAUGACCCUGGCUUUUGUUGUUGCCAUAAGUGAUACACAUUUCAAUUCACUUUCUGUGAGUAAUGUCACGAUCGUUGUUCAUAUUUCACGCUAAAUUGUUAAUAAGAAUUCAUUAUACUAGAACCUGCAACUCAAUUUAACCGCUCAAAUUUGUUUCUAAAUUGUUUAAACUAUUGUUCUCAUGUUUUGGAUCUUUACAACACUACACUUCUUUCUUUUUUAUGAAUGUGUUUUGUUCUUGGUUCU
RNA transcript from Pyrus x bretschneideri (Chinese white pear), 1930 nucleotides. RefSeq lists it as uncharacterized. The transcript is spliced from 4 exons. Lineage: Eukaryota; Viridiplantae; Streptophyta; Magnoliopsida; Rosales; Rosaceae. The record is from RefSeq and is a predicted model, not a curated record.